AUGCGUGGAUUCGGUAACCUCUUAACGACCCGUACAGCCAUGUUUGCUGUUACUGGGUUCGUAGCAGGUGCUCUAAUGACUAAAGCGGUUAGAAGUGCUUAUGAACAUUUCUAUGGAGACUCAGAAAAAGAGGAUUUAUCCUCUGUAGAACAACCAGAGUCUGAUUUUAUUAGCCCUGGACUCAAAAAACCAACUUCUCUUUACUUAGACGUCGAACCAUCGGUUAUAGAUGAUGAAGGGAUGAAUUAUCUCUCUCUGAAAGCAAACAGAACUGAUGUUGAAUAUUCUUACGGAGAAACAGGAGACGGUUCAUCCACUUUGUGGAAACUGGAGUCUGAAUUUAUCGCUACUGGACCCGAAAUAGCAACUAGUCUACUCAGAGACGUGGAACCAUCGGUUUUCCACGAAGAGAAGGAUUCUGGUUCCCACACAAGCCUCUCUGUGGCCCACGAACCACGGACUGAAAAACCAUUUUCUGAUUUUACGUCAGAUCACAUAACUACGUCAGAUUUGGAUGUGUUUGUGGAUGUGCCUGCUGAAAAUGAUCUGUCGUUGUUUUAUACAGAAGACGAUCUCUCCUGGGAUAAACCAGAUACAGACGUCUUUUUCACUUUUAAGGAAGGUUUUGGAGAAAUUCAGUCAGAAGAAUUGUCUUCAGCAAAGGAUUUAUGUGAGGGUGACUGUUCUGCAACUACAGAGGAGCUUUUCGAUGAGAACGACGAAAAAUCGCUCUCUUUAGAUCAAAAGCUGGAAACGCCACCCAGUUUUACAGAAUUAGAGGCUUUUAUGGAAGGAGAAGCGAAAACAUCUCUGGUUUCAGCAGAAGUUUGCGAUUACGUGUCUGACGGCUCUGAAAUGCUUCAUGACGCAUGUGAGACCUGGUCUGAGCCAGAAAGCGACCUUGACUCAUUGCCUUACGAUGACAGCGACUUGCCUGAUAUGGACGAAGGAAUGGGUUGCAAACUCGGGUUAGAAACAGAUGUGAAAGAGGUAAAUUGUGAAAAUAGAGCUUCUCUUAGCGGUUCUAAUCCUGAUACUGAAUGGGGGGAGGACGUUGGUCUAUCUCGGACUAAGAUUAUUUGGGAGAAUCAGAAUGAUGAUCAGAAUAAUCUUUCCACAAUUAUAGAGGAGAACUUUGAGGAGAAUGAUGAAAAAUCACUUUCUUUAGAAGAAAAUGAGGAAACGUCUCCUACUGAUGAAGAAUUGGAGGACGUAGACGGUGAAACAUCCGUUUUUUCAGAAGGAGAACUGAGUGAGGGCGACACAGAUUCAGAGAAAAACUCUGAUUUGCUCUCCGACAGCUUUGAAAGUCUUGCUGGAGAUGAAACUAGCUGCACCGAACAAGAAGAAGAGAGUCACGCUGAAUACUCGACGUCUGUGAGCCCUGUGGCUGAAACGUUCGUUUCAGAGCAGAAAUUAGAUGAAGGUAAUUCUUCUCCUAGCUGGUCGCCCAGCUCUUGUCACUCUGAUGGUGAGGAUGAAACACAGGAUAUUUUAAAUGAUGAUGAAGAGGAAACAUCUUUGGUUACGGGGGACAGAUUUAAUCACAAGCCUGAUGAUUCUGAUGCAGGUGAGACAAUUAGCUCCGUUUUAGAGGUCGAUGUGGAUUUAUCACCUGAAGACACAAGUGGCCUUACAAAUGAGGAGGCUGAGCUAAAGAGACUAGAUGAAAUGGAAGCCAAACUUUUGUUGGAGCUUGGUCUAGAAGAUCUGUUAUGUGACAACGUGGCUCCUCUUAGCUUGUUCUCCAACCCAGAUAAGGAAGCGAGUGAGAAAGACGAUGGAAGAUCUUUAAACUCAGAUGAGGAACUGAGUGAGGAUGACGAUGGAAGAUCUUUAAACUCAGAUGAGGAACUGAGUGACGAUGAAAUAUCUUUAAGCUCAGGUGAUGAGGUUGAUGUGGACAUAUCAUGGUCAGAUAUUGAAGAAGGAUUAGCGAAUGGGUUAGAAUUAGAUGCAAAUGCAGUUCAAAGGUUGUGGGAUUUUGCAAAGAAAGGUAAAACAUCUCAGAGAAGAGAAGAAAGCAACGUUGAAAAAGUAAGUUCAGGUGAGGAUGAUGAUGGAAGAUCUUUAAACUCAGACGAGGAACUGAGUGAGAAUGACGAUGGAAUAUCUUUAAGCUCAGGUGAUGAGGUUGAUGUGGACAUAUCAUGGUCAGAUAUUGAAGAAGGAUUAGCAGAUGGGUUAGAAUUAGAUGCAAAUGCAGUUCAAAGGUUGCGGAAUUUUGUAAAGAAAGGUAAAACAUCUCAGAGAAGAGAAGAAAGCAACGUUGAAAAAGUAAGUUCAGGUGAGGAUGAUGGAAAAUCUUCAUAUGAGAAGACACGUGUGGACGAAGCUUUUCCAAGCAUGUCCUCCAGGAUCUCGUACGAGCCAACCCCGCAUCGUCAGAGGAAAAAUAAUGGAUGUAAGGUUGAAGAAAAAUCAUCAGUUACUACAGGAAAGAGUUCAGGAGUAAAUAAAAGUGGAACCUCUAUCACAGGAGCCAAAGCUCGGAGGUCCCUGGUUUCUGGCAGCGAUACUGAACCAGCGCCCUCACAGGUAAGCGAGACUAAAGCGUCAGUUACAUCAGGAAAAUACCUGAAGGGACUGAAGAAGAGGUGGGGUAUGUUUAAGAAGAAAAUUAAGUUUUUUUUGUUUAGGAAGUCAAGAAAAUGA
RNAcentral lists this long non-coding RNA (2655 nucleotides) under Nothobranchius furzeri (turquoise killifish). Its description in RNAcentral is "lncRNA (ENSNFUG00015011458.1)". The record is from RNAcentral. Lineage: Eukaryota; Metazoa; Chordata; Actinopteri; Cyprinodontiformes; Nothobranchiidae.